UGCUUUUACGCAGUGUUUUGAGGUGCAGGACUGCAAUGCCCGCACUUCCGGACCCCAGACUCUUCCUACGGCGACUGACACCUCAGACACGCGUUGUGGGGGGCGGCGCUCUGGCUCCGGGGCUGUGCCCAGCGCGAGCGUGGCCGGCACCCACUUGCUGCAGAGCCGGCACUGCACUGGGGUUCUUGGGGGCGGCUCCUCCAGACGUCUCUGCGGGUUGUCGGGUGCUGCCGAGUUGGGUUGGGGGACGCUACAGGUAGUGGGUCCGGAGCAGCGGCUGGCCCCUCAUCUCACUGCCCUUCCUCGGACCCCACCGUCCUCUGGAAGCUUGUGCAGGGCACCUGCCACUGUGACCACCUGGACGCAGAUACCUGCUUUCCCACAACAGCAAGGAAGAACCAUGGCCCAGGGGUCACUGUCAUUCGGGGACGUGGCUGUGGGCUUCACCCGGAAAGAGUGGCAGCAGCUGGACCUGGAGCAGAGGACCCUGUACCAGGAUGUGAUGCUGGAGAACUACAGCCACCUGCUCUCUGUGGGCUGAACUGUCUGCUUGCUUGGAAGGCCCAGCUGGCUCAGCACAAAUCCUUUAACCGUUUCUCCCCAAGAGGGUGUCAAGUCAGCAAACCAGCUGUGAUCUCCAGUUUGGAGCAGGGGAAGGAGCCAUGGAUGGAGGAGGAAGAGAUAAGGACGUGGAGCUUCCCAGAAGAAGUUUGGCAAGUUGCUACCCAGCCAGAUAGCCAACAGCAACACGAAGACCAACAUUUGAGCCAUACGUUUCUAGACAAGAAAGACUGGACCGGAAAUGAGCUUCAUGAAUGUAACGAACUUGGAAAAAAACUCCAUCAGAACCCAAACCUCCUUCCAUCAAAACAGCAGGUCCGCACACGUGACUUGUGCAGAAAGAGUUUGAUGUGUAACCUGGACUUCACUCCUAACGCCUACCUGGCGAGGAGGAGAUUUCAGUGCGACGGCCACGGAAACUUCUUCUCUGUUCGAAACUUGAAACUCCACCUUCAGGAGCGAAUCCACGCGGAGGUCACCAGUGUGGAAGUGCUUUAAGCUGUGACGAGGGAGUUCCUGCAGCUCAGGGAGCCAGUAGUGAGAAACCCCACGAAUGCACGAAGUGUGGGAAAGCCUUGUGCUGCAGAUCGGACCUCAGGGUACAUCACGGGGUCCACGCGGGGGAGAAGUCCUCUGCGUGCAGUGAACGGGGGAGUGGUUUCAGGGAGAAGCUUUGCCCUGACAAACAGGGAACUCACACAAAGGAGAAACCCGCUAGAGACAGCAGAAGUGGUAAAACGAUCUUCCGGAAGACACGCCUGUGUGUCCCGGGCACAGUUCACGCCGGAGCGAAGCCUUACAAGUGUUGGGAGUGUGAGAAAACCUCCCACAAGUCGCGCCUCAUCGAGCACCUUCGCUCCCACACGGGGGAGAAGCCCUGCGGCUGCAGGGAAUGCGGAAAGGCCUUUUUCCAGAAGUCACACCUCAUCCUGCGUCAGAGGACUCACACGGGGGAGAAGCCCUGCGACUGCGCGGAGUGCGUGAGCCACUUUAGCCAGGAUAUACUUAAUUAUAAAGACAACUGUGGAUAUGAAGUUUUUUUUUCUUUUGAGAUGAAGUUUUACUCUUGUUGCCCAGGCUAUGGGAAGAAAUGAAAUCAUUACGACUAACAGAUCUAAAAAGCGUGAGAACAUCCCAGAGGGACGCAGGGGUGUGUUCCAAGUGUGCUACAGACAGAUAAUUUUUAUUUUUGUGUUGCACUGGUGAACAGAACAUAAUUGUGAAUCUGUAGACAUACAUACCAUAAUAUAUAGAAGAUCUAUGGAUACUUUCUAUGCUAAAUUAUACCCUUCUGUGUUUGUGAUAUAGAACUGGAAUAAGAUGAAUAUAUUAUUAAAGCAGAGAGGCCCACUGCAGCAGCACAUACCAUUUCUUCUGUUUGUCAUCACGUAUUACAGAGCCCCUGAACUUGGAAGCUAACAAUUUCAUGACAUCUGAUAACUCACAGUCAACUAGUUUAUAAGUUAUAUUUUUGGCUGGGCUCGGUCGCUCACACCUGUAAACCCAACACUUUGGGAGGCUGAGGCAGGCAGAUCACAUGAGGUCAGGAGUUUGAGACCAGCCUGGCCAACACGGUGAAACCCCGUCACUGAAAAAUAUAAAAAUUAGCUGAGCAUGCUGGUGAUUUUCUGUAAUCCCAGUAAUCCCAGCUACUUGGGAGGCUCAGGCACGAGAAUUGCUUGAGCCCAGCAGGCAGAGGUUGCAGUGAGCUGAGAUUGUGCCACUUCAUUCCAGCCUGGGCGACAGAGCAAGACUCUGUCUCAAAACAAGUUAUAUUUCUAUAUUAGGACUCCAUUUUCUGGCAAUACGGUGGACCGUCUAAAGUGAAAAUCACCGGGGCAGUGGCUCGUGCCUGUGAUCUCAGCACUUGGGAAAGUCAAGGUGGACAGGUCACUUGACCCCAGGAGUUCAAGACCAGCCUGGGCAACACGAAAGCUGACUUCAUGAGACCGAGGAUCUCGUUCGUUGAUCGAUGCUACAUAUUCAGCAUGUUAGAUAAUGAGGUUGGUGAGAUUGAUGAAAUCCCGCCCACCAGGGCCGACCCACAAAGAGCCACUUUAUGAAGAACAUGCUCCUGAACUCCACUCCACAACCAGCUUUUGAAAAGAAAAAUCUGAAAAAAUUUGACCUCAGUUAAACUGGUCCAAAUGCCUGAGCAUAACCAAAAUCUUUCCUCAUUCACUCUUCACGUGGACCGUGUUUAAUUUGGUUGCUGGUGAUCAUAUUUGUUUUAGUAAAGGCUGUCACUCUAUCUUGGGCG
Molecule: long non-coding RNA, 2821 nt
Filed under: Homo sapiens (human)
Lineage: Eukaryota; Metazoa; Chordata; Mammalia; Primates; Hominidae
Description: non-protein coding lnc-OCM-3:2
Source: RNAcentral